Molecule: unclassified non-coding RNA, 332 nt
Filed under: plant metagenome
Description: partial contains 5.8S ribosomal RNA, internal transcribed spacer 2, and large subunit ribosomal RNA
Rfam family: 5.8S ribosomal RNA (bases 1-104)
Source: RNAcentral
GAAACGCGAAAGGUAAUGCGAAUUGCAGAAUCAGUGAGUCAUCGAAUCUUUGAACGCACAUUGCGCCUCUCGGUAUUCCGGGAGGCACGCCUGUUCGAGCGCCAUUACAAACUCCAAGCGUGGCUUGAUGUUGGGCGAUGUCUUUUUGCGAGAGCGGAGACACGCCUGGAACGCGUUGGCGCCGCCGCCGGACCACGAGCGUAGCAAGACGAGAGUCAAUCGCAUCGAUUUGGUUUCCGACGGAGGUCCGCCUUUGGAUUGGAUCUUGGAUUCGAUCUACCCAUCAACAAGUUUGGCCUCGGAUCAGGCGGGGAUACCCGCUGAACUUAAGC